CAGCCGUAAACAAUGUGCGUUAGGUGUGUCGGUAACCACGCGUUACUGAUGCGCCGAAGAGAAAUCGUGAAACGCACCACCUGGGAAGUACGGUCGCAAGGCUGAAACUUAAAGGAAUUGGCGGGGGGAGCACCACAACAGGUGGAGCCUGCGGUUUAAUUGGACUCAACGCCGGGAAGCUCACCGGAUAGGACAGCAGAAUGAUUGCCGGGCUGAAGACCCUGCAUGACUAGCUGAGAGGAGGUGCAUGGCGUCAGUGACU
RNAcentral lists this ribosomal RNA (262 nucleotides) under uncultured archaeon. Its description in RNAcentral is "partial 16S ribosomal RNA". It matches the Rfam family "Archaeal small subunit ribosomal RNA", at positions 748 to 1008 of the family's 1478-position model. The record is from RNAcentral.